CGGUUGAUCCUGCCGGACCCGACUGCUAUUUGGGUGAGGAUAAACCAUGCGAGUUGUAUGGGAUACCUAAAUUUCCCAUGGCAAACUGCUCAGUAACACAUGAUCAACUUACCCUAGGGAGAAAAAUAACCUCAGGAAACUGAGGAUAAUGUUUCAUAGUUGAAUAGGCUUGGAAAAGUUAUUCAACAAAAGGAAUAAGAACAAAAGUUCUUAUUCGCCCUAGGAUAGGAUCGUGUUCGAUUAUGGUAGUUGGUGAGAUAACGGCUCACCAAGCCGAUAAUCGAUAGGGGCCGUGAGAGCGGGAGCCCCGAGAUGGGUACUGAGACAGCGACCCAGGCCUUACGAGGCGCAGCAGGCGCGAGACCUCCGCAAUACACGAAAGUGUGACGGGGUUACCCAAAGUGUUCUCUUUAGAACUGUGGUAGGUGAGUAAUGUCCCCUACUAGAAAGGAGAGGGCAAGGCUGGUGCCAGCCGCCGCGGUAAAACCAGCUCUUCAAGUGGUCGGGAUAAUUAUUGGGCUUAAAGUGUCCGUAGCCGGUUUAGUUAGUUCCUGGUAAAAUCGGGUAGCUUAACUAUCUGCAUGCUAGGAAUACUGCUAUACUAGAGGGCGGGAGAAGUCUGAGGUACUACAGGGGUAGGGGUGAAAUCUUAUAAUCCUUGUAGGACCACCAGUGGCGAAGGCGUCAGACUGGAACGCGCCUGACGGUGAGGGACGAAAGCCAGGGGAGCGAACCGGAUUAGAUACGUCGGUGCUAGAAUAAUAAAAUAACUAACACCAUGCUAAAAACCCGGGUAGUCCUGGCCGUAAACGAUGCAUACUAGGUGAUGGUACGGCCAUGAGCCGUAUCAGUGCCGUAGGGAAACCGUUAAGUGUGCCGCCUGGGAAGUACGGUCGCAAGGCUAAAACUUAAAGGAAUUGGCGGGGGAGCAC
RNAcentral lists this ribosomal RNA (932 nucleotides) under uncultured archaeon. RNAcentral describes it as "bacterial SSU rRNA". It matches the Rfam family "Archaeal small subunit ribosomal RNA", at positions 5 to 879 of the family's 1478-position model. The record is from RNAcentral.